This 73-nucleotide transfer RNA is filed under the name Coemansia erecta. It matches the Rfam family "tRNA". Rfam says of the family: Transfer RNA (tRNA) molecules are approximately 80 nucleotides in length. The record is from Rfam by way of RNAcentral. Lineage: Eukaryota; Fungi; Kickxellomycota; Kickxellomycetes; Kickxellales; Kickxellaceae.
GGACGUUUAGUUUAGUGGUUAUAACGUCCGCUUUAAACGCGGAAGGUCGCGAGUUCGAUCCUCGCAAUGUCCU